AUUGCUAUAAUAUAUAAACUAAAACAUCCAAUUUUCAACAAAAAAAUUACAGGCAUGCAAACAAAAAAGAAAGUAUGACACAUGCACUGGGUAAAAAAGCAAGCAACAGAAACUUCUUGUGAGAGUGACCACAAUGUCAGAUUUAACAAAUACUUCCAAGUAGCCAUUAUAAAUAUGUUUAAAGAACUAAAAGAAAGCAUGAUUAAUUAAGCAAAGAAGGUACGAUGUCAAUGUCACAUGACACAGGACAUAGAGAAUAUUAAUAAUGAGAUAGAAGUUAUAAGUGAAAACCCCAUGGAAAUUCUGGAGUUGAAAAGUGCAAUAACUAAAAGAAAACAUUCACUAGAAGGGCUAAAAAGUAUAUUUGAACCAAUAGAAGAAUGAUUUAAUGAACCUGAAGAUAGAUCGAUAGAUAGUAUGCAAUCCAAAUCACAGAGAGAAAGGAAGAAAACUGAACAGAGCUUCAGACAAAUGUGGGACACUAUUAAAUGCACCAAUAUAGUACACAAUGACAGUACUAGAGGAGAGAGAGAAAGGAGCAGGAAAAAAUAAAGGAAUAUGGGUGAAAACUUUCCAAUAUUUGUUGAAAAACAAUAAUCUACAUAUCCAAAAAGCUUAGUUAACUCCAAGUAGGAUGAAUUCAAAAAGAUCUACAGACAUUUCAUAGUAAACACAUUAAAAGUCAAAGAUAAAGAGAAACUCCUGAAAGCAGAUAGAGAUAAAUGACUUAUCACUCGCAAGGGAAAUUCAAUAAAAAUAACAGUUGACUCAGUAGAAACAAUGGAGGCCAAAGACAGUAGGAACACCUAUUCAAAAUGAUCAAAGAAAAAACUGUCAAUGAGCAAAGCUGUCUUUCAAAAAUGAAGGCAAAAUUAAAAUAUUUCCAGAUAGACAAAAAUCGAGAGGAUUUGUUGCUAGUAUACCCAACUUAUAAGCAAUAUCAAAAAAUCUUCAGGCCAAAAGCAAGUGACUCCAGACAUUGGUUUCAAUCCACACAAAAAUACGAAGAGCACCAGUAAUUAUGUAAUUAUAAAACAGAGUAUAAAUGCAAACUCCAUCUCUACUUAACUGGUGUAAAAAGCAAUUGCAUAAAAUAAUAUGUAUAUAAUAUAUUGUUGGCCUCUAACACAUAGAAUUAUAAUUUAUUUGUCAUAUAUUUGCCAAGAACAAUGCAAAAGAGGUAGAUGGGUGCAAAGCUCUAUUGAACUAAAGAAAUGACUACAGGGCCUGCCUGGUGGCACAGUGGUUAAGUUCACAUAACCUGCUCAGGAGGCCUGUGGUCUAUGGGUUUGGAUUCUGGGUGAGGACCUACACACUGCUCAUCAAGGCAUGCUGUGGUGGUGUCCCACAUACAAAAUGGAGGCAGGUUGGCAUAGAUGUUAGCUCAGGGCCAAUCUUCCUCACCAAAAAGAACAGAAAAAAGAGAAAUGACUACAGAUGGUUCAGUAAUAAUAACAAUAUGCUGUUGAAUUGUUUGUGCUAAUAGAUGUAAUAUAUGUAACAAUAACAUCAUAAAAGAAGGAUAAAGAUAUAUAGCAGUAACAUUUUUUAUAUCUUAUGAAAUUAAGCUAGUAUAAAUCUGAUGAUUCUGAUAAGUGAAGAUAUAUAUAGUAAGCCCUAGGGCAUCCACUAAAAAAAAAAUGACUGAAACAAAUGAAGUAAAAAAAAAUAAGACAAAAUGCUUCACGGGAAAAUUCACUUAAUGCAAAAGAAAGCAAUAAAGGAGGGAUAGAAGAAAAAAAGAAAAGUGACACAUAGAAAACAAACAGUAAAACAGACAUAAAUCCAACAAUAUCAAUAAUAUCAUUAAAUUUAAAUUAAGUAAAAAUAUAAUCAAAAGUAAGAGAUUGUUACGACUGAAUUUAGGGGCUGGCCUCAUGGCCGAGUUGUCAAGUUUGCACGCUCCACUUCAGGGGCCCAGGCUCUCACAAGUUUGGAUCCUGGGCGUGGACCUAGCACUGCUCAUCGAGUCAUGCUGAGGCAGCAUCCCAUGUGGAAGAACUGGAAGGACCUACAAAUAGAAUACACAACA
RNAcentral lists this long non-coding RNA (2032 nucleotides) under Equus asinus (donkey). Its description in RNAcentral is "lncRNA (ENSEASG00005037532.1)". The record is from RNAcentral. Lineage: Eukaryota; Metazoa; Chordata; Mammalia; Perissodactyla; Equidae.